GACGAACCGUGCGAACGUUAUUCGGAAUCACUGGGCUUAAAGCGCGUGUAGGCGGGCCGCCGCGUCGGCUGCUGAAAUCCCCCGGCUCAACCGGGGAAGGGGCACCGAUACGGGCGGCCUGGAGGGGGGUAGGGGGGUCUGGAACUUCCGGUGGAGCGGUGAAAUGCGUUGAGAUCGGAAGGAACGCCCGUGGCGAAAGCGAGGCCCUGGACCCUUACUGACGCUGAGACGCGAAAGCCAGGGGAGCGAACGGG
This 254-nucleotide ribosomal RNA is filed under the name uncultured bacterium. Its description in RNAcentral is "partial 16S ribosomal RNA". It matches the Rfam family "Bacterial small subunit ribosomal RNA", at positions 524 to 776 of the family's 1533-position model. The record is from RNAcentral.